RNAcentral lists this ribosomal RNA (497 nucleotides) under uncultured bacterium. Its description in RNAcentral is "partial 16S ribosomal RNA". It matches the Rfam family "Bacterial small subunit ribosomal RNA", at positions 28 to 507 of the family's 1533-position model. The record is from RNAcentral.
GAUGAACGCUGGCGGCGUGCCUAAUACAUGCAAGUCGAGCGAACAGACGAGGAGCUUGCUCCUCUGACGUUAGCGGCGGACGGGUGAGUAACACGUGGAUAACCUACCUAUAAGACUGGGAUAACUUCGGGAAACCGGAGCUAAUACCGGAUAAUAUAUUGAACCGCAUGGUUCAAUAGUGAAAGACGGUUUUGCUGUCACUUAUAGAUUGAUCCGCGCCGCAUUAGCUAGUUGGUAAGGUAACGGCUUACCAAGGCGACGAUGCGUAGCCGACCUGAGAGGGUGAUCGGCCACACUGGAACUGAGACACGGUCCAGACUCCUACGGGAGGCAGCAGUAGGGAAUCUUCCGCAAUGGGCGAAAGCAUGACGGAGCAACGCCGCGUGAGUGAUGAAGGUCUUCGGAUCGUAAAACUCUGUUAUUAGGGAAGAACAAAUGUGUAAGUAACUAUGCACGUAUUGACGGUACCUAAUCAGAAAGCCACGGCUAACUACGUG